CUGACAGCUAUGUUCGGGGGUCAGUUCUCCUUCCACAAGUGCACUUCUGUGAUCGGGCCCAAGCCCAGCUUCUAUGCAGCAGCUUCAGCGUCUGUGGAGGUCACAUGUUUAGAAGCUCAUAGCGGAGGUGUACUUGUUUCUCACUGGGAAAAUAUGCUGAACUCUGACUGGCUACUUUAAUUCUGCAUCUUCUUCCUCCACACCUAAAUUUUACACAAAAACUCUGUAGGCACGUGAAGGACCCAAU
RNAcentral lists this long non-coding RNA (247 nucleotides) under Homo sapiens (human). RNAcentral's name for it is "HSALNT0053617". Lineage: Eukaryota; Metazoa; Chordata; Mammalia; Primates; Hominidae. The record is from RNAcentral.